UUUAUAGGCGUCAAGUUGUCUAUAAUUAGGUAUCAUAACAAAAUAUUUGCUCUAAUACUGUGCAGUUUAUGUUUUCUUGUUUAUUUUCAAUACUUCGAAUCCCUCAUAACUUUCAAAUAUUUCUAAUAUUUAAUAUGGAUAAGGUGAUAUAACGAAGAGAGGUUUUUGGGGGCAGAUACACUUUCAAAUUAUUCUGCCAUUUUUGGAAGCUCGCUUUAUUGCACAAUUUUUCAAGUAUGAAAAAUUACAUAUUUCGAAAUUGCCCAAAGACGCAAAUCUGAGUAAACAAUCCCAUUAAAUAUCCUUCCUCAUCAAGAAACAUCUUACAACACAAUCUCCAAUGAAUAUCAGUUAAAACAUGGCAAUAAUGCAUUUAAUGUCAUUAACUUAAGCAAUCCUCAUCAUCCAAAAGAUCCUCAAGUGUCAACGAAGUGCCACUUGAGUGCUAAAUAGCCAACACAAAAACAACGCAGAGAAGAUUACUUCAAACGGAUCCGAUGUCUUCAGAAGUGAUAUCCCGACGCAUAUUCUCCGCAAGACCCGGGAACAUUUAUUUUGACAGGAUCCUAAUUUUCGUGUAAAAGGUGCAUGAUUUACGCAUUUCGGCUACUUAACUCAGUACAUGUUUGUAUCUCCACUUAGUGCGUACUCUGAAACAUGACCAACUCUCGAAAUAAUUCAUCCAUAAAAUUUUCAUCGGAUUUCAAAAGAUAGGUCGCCUAAAACAGAAUCCGCCCCGGAUGUAACCUUUUACGAGAAGUGGCUGAAGUAUUUUAUGUGAAAGACUAUUUGUCGUCUGUUGUUGGGUGUAAAAUGCCGAGAUCUAUAUGGGCAUGAUUGGUGCAUGGCAUAGAUGUGGAGUACUUCAUGAAAGUAAAUGGACAGAAAAAUAAUUUUCGACGGCACUUUUUCAAAAUGAAGAACGUUUAAGCCCAUAUACAAAAGUAGAAAAGUAGUACAAUAAUUUUCGUAAAAGAAAAUCUUAAGUCAGAGUUAUAUGGAACUUAGAACUCAUCGAUGACAUCGGUGAUCUGUAGUGAAUUGAUACUACAGAAUCGACGGCGGGUUGAAACAGCCGAAACUCUGAAGCUGAGGAAACUGAGAAUGAAGAUCCCGAAGGGUCAAAUAACCAGUCGCUGUCCUGCACAAAGUCUACACUGAAGGGGGCGAAACAUCUGGCAUCAUAUUGGACUGCCCUCGAGGAAUGGUUCAAUCAAUUGCACUUAUCGGAUUAUCUAAUUAUGACUUUUCACCUAUAUGAACUUUGAACAUAAAGUUAGUAGGCUAAAUCCGCUAGAAAAUCUGUAGGAAUCAUUUCCGCGAUGACUAUCACUGCUUCAUCUGAUGUUAUUCCGCACUGAAUGCACACUCAGUACAAUUAAACA
Hermetia illucens (black soldier fly) is the source of this 1385-nucleotide long non-coding RNA. RefSeq lists it as uncharacterized. The transcript is spliced from 3 exons. The record is from RefSeq and is a predicted model, not a curated record. NCBI's taxonomy places the organism in Eukaryota, Metazoa, Arthropoda, Insecta, Diptera, Stratiomyidae.